This 424-nucleotide ribosomal RNA is filed under the name uncultured cyanobacterium. RNAcentral's name for it is "bacterial SSU rRNA". It matches the Rfam family "Bacterial small subunit ribosomal RNA", at positions 356 to 795 of the family's 1533-position model. Lineage: Bacteria; Bacillati; Cyanobacteriota. The record is from RNAcentral.
GGGGAAUUUUCCGCAAUGGGCGAAAGCCUGACGGAGCAACGCCGCGUGAGGGAUGAAGGCCUCUGGGCUGUAAGCCUCUUUUCUCAAGGAAGAAGAUCUGACGGUACUUGAGGAAUAAGCCACGGCUAAUUCCGUGCCAGCAGCCGCGGUAAUACGGGAGUGGCAAGCGUUAUCCGGAAUUAUUGGGCGUAAAGCGUCCGCAGGCGGUCUUGUAAGUCUGUCGUUAAAGCGUGGAGCUUAACUCCAUUUCAGCGAUGGAAACUGCAAGACUAGAGUGUGGUAGGGGCAGAGGGAAUUCCCGGUGUAGCGGUGAAAUGCGUAGAUAUCGGGAAGAACACCAGUGGCGAAGGCGCUCUGCUGGGCCAUAACUGACGCUCAUGGACGAAAGCCAGGGGAGCGAAAGGGAUUAGAUACCCCUGUAGUC